CGGGAGGCUCCAGCAGUGAGGAAUAUUGGGCAAUGGGCGAAAGCCUGACCCAGCAACGCCGCGUGGGUGAUGAAGCUUCGAGGAGUGUAAAACCCUGUUAGGAGGGAAGAAUCUCCCGUUUACGGGAAUUGACGGUACCUCCAGAGAAAGCUCCGGCUAACUCCGUGCCAGCAGGCCGCGGUAACACGGGGGGAGCAAGCGUUGUCCGGAUUUACUGGGCGUAAAGAGCAUGUAGGCGGGACUUUAAGUCAGUUGUGAAAUCUCCCGGCUCAACCGAGAACCUGCAAUUGAAACUAUUGUCCUUGAGUACGGAAGAGGGAAGUGGAAUUCCUGGUGUAGCGGUGAAAUGCGUAGAUAUCAGGAAGAACACCAGUAGCGAAGGCGGCUUCCUGGUCCGUUACUGACGCUGAGAUGCGAAAGCGUGGGGAGCAAACAGGAUUAGAUACCCGUGUAGUC
Molecule: ribosomal RNA, 456 nt
Filed under: uncultured bacterium
Lineage: Bacteria
Description: partial 16S ribosomal RNA
Rfam family: Bacterial small subunit ribosomal RNA
Source: RNAcentral